RNAcentral lists this ribosomal RNA (492 nucleotides) under uncultured bacterium. RNAcentral describes it as "partial 16S ribosomal RNA". It matches the Rfam family "Bacterial small subunit ribosomal RNA", at positions 29 to 507 of the family's 1533-position model. The record is from RNAcentral.
AGUGAACGCUGGCGGUAGGCCUAACACAUGCAAGUCGAACGGCAGCACAGUAAUAGCUUGCUCUUACGGGUGGCGAGUGGCGGACGGGUGAGGAAUACAUCGGAAUCUACUUUUUCGUGGAGGAUAACGUAGGGAAACUUACUCUAAUACCGCAUACGACCUACGGGUGAAAGCAGGGGAUCUUCGGACCUUGCGCGAUUGAAUGGGCCGAUGUCGGAUUAGCUAGUUGGCGGGGUAAAGGCCCACCAAGGCGACGAUCCGUCGCUGGACUGGGAGGAUGGCAGGCACCACUGGAGCUGAGACAGGGCCCUGAGUCCUCAGAGAGGCAGCAGCGGGCAAUAUGGGACAAAGGGGGCAAGACUGAUCCAGUCAUACGGGGUGGGUGAAGAAAGCCUUCGGGUUGUGAAGCCCUUGUGUUGGGAAAGAAAAGCAGCAGGUUAAGACACAGCUGUUAUGACGGUACCUAAAGAAUAAGCACCGGCUAACUUCGUG